Molecule: ribosomal RNA, 991 nt
Filed under: uncultured bacterium
Lineage: Bacteria
Description: bacterial SSU rRNA
Rfam family: Bacterial small subunit ribosomal RNA
Source: RNAcentral
ACCUCACUACGGGAGAGUACUGCGGUUAAACGAAUUCGCCCUUAGAGUUUGAUUCUGGCUCAGGAUGAACGNCUAGCGACAGGCCUAACACAUGCAAGUCGAGGGGCAUCGGGACGUAGCAAUACGUUGCCGGCGACCGGCGGAUGGGUGAGUAACGCGUAUGCAACCUACCCGUAGCAGGGGGAUAGCCCGUUGAAAGACGGAUUAAUACCCCAGUAACACAGGGGCUCCGCAUGGAGAUUAUUGUUAAAGGGUCAUUUCUUUUUCAGGGAUGGUCCGGCUGCGGAUGGGCAUGCGUUCCAUUAGGUAGUUGGUGUAGGUAACGGCUCACCAAGCCGACGAUGGAUAGGGGAACUGAGAGGUUGGUCCCCCACACUGGUACUGAGACACGGACCAGACUCCCUACGGGAGGCAGCAGUGAGGAAUUUUGGUCAAUGGACGCAAGUCUGAACCAGCCAUGUCGCGUGAAGGAGGACGGCCCUAAGGGUUGUAAACUUCUUUUGCAGUGGAAUAAAGUUUGCCACGUGUUGGCGAUUUGCAAGUACGCUGCGAAUAAGGAUCGGCUAACUCCGUGCCAGCAGCCGCGGUAAUACGGAGGAUCCAGGCGUUAUCCGGAUUUAUUGGGUUUAAAGGGUGCGCAGGCGGGGAAUUAGGUCGGCGGUGAAAUUUCGGGGCUCAACCUCGACAGUGCCGUUGAAACCGUUUCUCUUGAGUGCGGAUGAGGUAGGCGGAAUUUGUGGUGUAGCGGUGAAAUGCGUAGAUAUCACAAGGAACACCGAUUGCGGAGGCAGCUUACUAAACCGUUACUGACGCUCAUGCACGAAGGCGUGGGGAUCAAACAGGAUUAGAUACACUGGUAGUCCACGCAGUAAACGAUGAUUACUUGCUGUUUGCGAUACACAGUAAGCGGCGAAGCGAAAGCGUUAAGUAAUCCACCNUGGGGAGUACGUUCGCAAGAAUGAAACUCAAAGGGUUGACGGAGGGCGAAUUC